This 486-nucleotide long non-coding RNA is filed under the name Homo sapiens (human). RNAcentral's name for it is "HSALNT0268640". Lineage: Eukaryota; Metazoa; Chordata; Mammalia; Primates; Hominidae. The record is from RNAcentral.
CGGCAGGGGUGAGUUGCAGGGAUGGGCUGAGGUUAGAGAUUCCUCUUGAUGAAAAUCCCUUGCCCCACAAAUGGGCCUGUGUGGACAGAGAGGGCGAGUGAUAGGAAGAUGCGGUGAGGGCAGAGAGACGCCUUCCAGGGGAAGAAAUCAGAGAAUCCUGCCCAAGACCUGGAGCCCGCGAAGCCUCCCACCUCCUGGGGCACCAGUACUUUACACAGAUCUGACUCCUGUUCUCCCUCUCGCAUCAUGGAAAGGGGCUCUGUCCCCUCCCCAGAUGAGCGAAGCCCUGUUACUCAGACUCCCAUUGCACCAGGAGACACAGAAAAGUACAAAGAAGAAAACUAAAAAGGUGACCCAGAGAGAACCACUCUAAGAUGUGCACGGGAAUUCAGCUCAGCUCGCGUAUUUAAAUUGAGAUCCUACUGUUGUCUGUUUUUUCAUUUUUCACGAAAAUAAAACUUGACUCAAAGUUUCAUUUUAAAAUAC